Molecule: ribosomal RNA, 411 nt
Filed under: uncultured Glomeromycotina
Lineage: Eukaryota; Fungi; Glomeromycota
Description: SSU rRNA
Rfam family: Eukaryotic small subunit ribosomal RNA
Source: RNAcentral
AAUGUCAUUGAUUUUCUCCCCUCUGAUGAAUCAUGAUGUCAUUAAUUUGAUGUUGUGGGGAGUCAGGACUGUUACUUUGAAAAAAUUAGAGUGUUUAAAGCAAGCACGCGCUUGAAUACAUUAGCAUGGAAUAAUGAAAUAGGACGUUCGAUUCUAUUUUGUUGGUUUCUAGGAUCAACGUAAUGAUUAAUAGGGAUAGUUGGGGGCAUUAGUAUUCAAUUGUCAGAGGUGAAAUUCUUGGAUUUAUUGAAGACUAACUACUGCGAAAGCAUUUGCCAAGGAUGUUUUCAUUAAUCAAGAACGAAAGUUAGGGGAUCGAAGACGAUCAGAUACCGUCGUAGUCUUAACCAUAAACUAUGCCGACUAGGGAUCGGAUGAUGUUAAUUUUUUAAUGACUCAUUCGGCGCCUUA